CCUACGGGUGGCAGCAGUGAGGAAUAUUGGUCAAUGGACGAGAGUCUGAACCAGCCAAGUAGCGUGAAGGAUGACUGCCCUAUGGGUUGUAAACUUCUUUUAUAUGGGAAUAAAAUGUUCCACGUGUGGGAUUUUGUAUGUACCAUAUGAAUAAGGAUCGGCUAACUCCGUGCCAGCAGCCGCGGUAAUACGGAGGAUCCGAGCGUUAUCCGGAUUUAUUGGGUUUAAAGGGAGCGUAGGUGGAUUGUUAAGUCAGUUGUGAAAGUUUGCGGCUCAACCGUAAAAUUGCAGUUGAAACUGGCAGUCUUGAGUACAGUAGAGGUGGGCGGAAUUCGUGGUGUAGCGGUGAAAUGCUUAGAUAUCACGAAGAACUCCGAUUGCGAAGGCAGUUCACUGGACUGCAACUGACACUGAGGCUCGAAAGUUUGGGUAUCAAACAGGAUUAGAUACCCGUGUAGU
RNAcentral lists this ribosomal RNA (459 nucleotides) under uncultured bacterium. Its description in RNAcentral is "partial 16S ribosomal RNA". It matches the Rfam family "Bacterial small subunit ribosomal RNA", at positions 338 to 794 of the family's 1533-position model. The record is from RNAcentral.